This 3143-nucleotide ribosomal RNA is filed under the name Streptomyces sp. W1SF4. Its description in RNAcentral is "23S ribosomal RNA". It matches the Rfam family "Bacterial large subunit ribosomal RNA". Lineage: Bacteria; Bacillati; Actinomycetota; Actinomycetes; Kitasatosporales; Streptomycetaceae. The record is from RNAcentral.
ACAGUGGACGCGAGCAUCUGUGGCCAAGUUUUUAAGGGCGCACGGUGGAUGCCUUGGCACCAGGAACCGAUGAAGGACGUGAGAGGCCGCGAUAGGCCCCGGGGAGCUGCCAACUGAGCUUUGAUCCGGGGGUGUCCGAAUGGGGAAACCCGGCAGUCGUCAUGGGCUGUCACCCACUGCUGAACACAUAGGCAGUGUGGAGGGAACGAGGGGAAGUGAAACAUCUCAGUACCCUCAGGAAGAGAAAACAACCGUGAUUCCGGGAGUAGUGGCGAGCGAAACCGGAUGAGGCCAAACCGUAUGCGUGUGAGACCCGGCAGGGGUUGCGCAUGCGGGGUUGUGGGAAUGAGCUUUCACAGUCUGCCGGCUGUGAGGCGAGUCAGAAACCGUAUGGAUAGGCGAAGGACAUGCGAAAGGUCCGGCGUAGAGGGUAAGACCCCCGUAGCUGAAAUCUGUACGGCUUGCUUGCUCAUCUCCCAAGUAGCACGGGGCCCGAGAAAUCCCGUGUGAAUCUGGCGGGACCACCCGCUAAGCCUAAAUAUUCCCUGGUGACCGAUAGCGGAUAGUACCGUGAGGGAAUGGUGAAAAGUACCGCGGGAGCGGAGUGAAAUAGUACCUGAAACCGUGUGCCUACAAGCCGUGGGAGCGUCGGAUGCACUUGUGCAUCUCGUGACUGCGUGCCUUUUGAAGAAUGAGCCUGCGAGUUAGCGGUGUGUAGCGAGGUUAACCCGUGUGGGGAAGCCGUAGCGAAAGCGAGUCCGAAUAGGGCGAUUGAGUUGCACGCUCUAGACCCGAAGCGGAGUGAUCUAGCCAUGGGCAGGUUGAAGCGGAGGUAAGACUUCGUGGAGGACCGAACCCACCAGGGUUGAAAACCUGGGGGAUGACCUGUGGUUAGGGGUGAAAGGCCAAUCAAACUCCGUGAUAGCUGGUUCUCCCCGAAAUGCAUUUAGGUGCAGCGUCGUGUGUUUCUUGCCGGAGGUAGAGCACUGGAUAGGCGAUGGGCCCUACCGGGUUACUGACCUUAGCCAAACUCCGAAUGCCGGUAAGUGAGAGCACGGCAGUGAGACUGUGGGGGAUAAGCUCCAUGGUCGAGAGGGAAACAGCCCAGAGCAUCGACUAAGGCCCCUAAGCGUACGCUAAGUGGGAAAGGAUGUGGAGUCGCAGAGACAACCAGGAGGUUGGCUUAGAAGCAGCCACCCUUGAAAGAGUGCGUAAUAGCUCACUGGUCAAGUGAUUCCGCGCCGACAAUGUAGCGGGGCUCAAGCGUACCGCCGAAGUCGUGUCAUUGCAGCAAUAGGGCCAACGCCCGCUGUGAUGGGUAGGGGAGCGUCGUGUGCCGGGUGAAGCAGCAGCGGAAGCUAGUUGUGGACGGUUCACGAGUGAGAAUGCAGGCAUGAGUAGCGAUACACACGUGAGAAACGUGUGCGCCGAUUGACUAAGGGUUCCUGGGUCAAGCUGAUCUGCCCAGGGUAAGUCGGGACCUAAGGCGAGGCCGACAGGCGUAGUCGAUGGACAACCGGUUGAUAUUCCGGUACCCGCUUUGAAACGCCCAAUAUCGAAUCCUCUGAUGCUAAGCCCGUGAAGCCGUUCCGGACCCUUCGGGGAAUGGAAAGUGGUGGAGCCGGCGAUCCAAGGUGGUAGUAGGUAAGCGAUGGGGUGACGCAGGAAGGUAGUCCAGCCCGGGCGGUGGUUGUCCCGGGGUAAGGGUGUAGGCCGUGUGGUAGGCAAAUCCGUCACACGUUAAGGCUGAGACCUGAUGCCGAGCCGAUUGUGGUGAAGUGGAUGAUCCUAUGCUGUCGAGAAAAGCCUCUAGCGAGUUUCAUGGCGGCCCGUACCCUAAACCGACUCAGGUGGUCAGGUAGAGAAUACCGAGGCGUUCGGGUGAACUAUGGUUAAGGAACUCGGCAAAAUGCCCCCGUAACUUCGGGAGAAGGGGGGCCAUUCCUGGUGAUGAGACUUGCUCUCUGAGCUGGGGGUGGCCGCAGAGACCAGCGAGAAGCGACUGUUUACUAAAAACACAGGUCCGUGCGAAGCCGUAAGGCGAUGUAUACGGACUGACGCCUGCCCGGUGCUGGAACGUUAAGGGGACCGGUUAGUGACCUUUCGGGGUUGCGAAGCUGAGAACUUAAGCGCCAGUAAACGGCGGUGGUAACUAUAACCAUCCUAAGGUAGCGAAAUUCCUUGUCGGGUAAGUUCCGACCUGCACGAAUGGCGUAACGACUUCUCGACUGUCUCAACCAUAGGCCCGGUGAAAUUGCACUACGAGUAAAGAUGCUCGUUUCGCGCAGCAGGACGGAAAGACCCCGGGACCUUUACUACAGUUUGAUAUUGGUGUUCGGUUCGGCUUGUGUAGGAUAGGUGGGAGACUUUGAAGCAGCCACGCCAGUGGUUGUGGAGUCGCCGUUGAAAUACCACUCUGGUCGUGCUGGAUGUCUAACCUCGGUCCGUGAUCCGGAUCAGGGACAGUGUCUGAUGGGUAGUUUAACUGGGGCGGUUGCCUCCCAAAGGGUAACGGAGGCGCCCAAAGGUUCCCUCAGCCUGGUUGGCAAUCAGGUGUUGAGUGUAAGUGCACAAGGGAGCUUGACUGUGAGACCGACGGGUCGAGCAGGGACGAAAGUCGGGACUAGUGAUCCGGCGGUGGCUUGUGGAAGCGCCGUCGCUCAACGGAUAAAAGGUACCCCGGGGAUAACAGGCUGAUCUUCCCCAAGAGUCCAUAUCGACGGGAUGGUUUGGCACCUCGAUGUCGGCUCGUCGCAUCCUGGGGCUGGAGUCGGUCCCAAGGGUUGGGCUGUUCGCCCAUUAAAGCGGUACGCGAGCUGGGUUUAGAACGUCGUGAGACAGUUCGGUCCCUAUCCGCUGUGCGCGUAGGAAUAUUGAGAAGGGCUGUCCCUAGUACGAGAGGACCGGGACGGACGAACCUCUGGUGUGCCAGUUGUCCUGCCAAGGGCAUGGCUGGUUGGCUACGUUCGGGAGGGAUAACCGCUGAAAGCAUCUAAGCGGGAAGCCUGCUUCAAGAUGAGUAUUCCCACCUCCUUGAGAGGGUAAGGCUCCCAGUAGACGACUGGGUUGAUAGGCCAGAUGUGGAAGCCCGGUAACGGGUGGAGCUGACUGGUACUAAUAGGCCGAGGGCUUGUCCUCAGUUG